CUAGGUUAUAUAGUUUGAGAGGAGAAUUGGUAGGAAUUAGAAGGAAUUUUUUAUGAAAGCCUUAGGGGAAGUGUUUAGUUAUUUUUUGGAGCAGGGACUAAAGGAAUUAUCCAGAAGGUAGUGGAAAAACAGGCACUUAUUCCUCUAGGUGUUUAUAUGAGGGUAGAGGGCUGAAAGAAAAAUAUUUACAGGCAUGUUGAUUGAUCUGGGAGCCAGGUGGAGAGUAUUAUUAAGGAUAGACUGUUUUUGAUAAAUGGUAACCAUCCUCACGAUGAUAAAAACAUGAGAAAGAUAGGAGACCAAACGUCUUUCCUUUUUAUGGGACCAAUAAAUAUUACCUUAUAUUACAAUGAAUGAAAUCAUUCAAAGAGAGGAUUCCAAAGACAUAUGCAAAUACAUUUCCAAAAAUAAAGUGGCCGAGUGUAGAAGUAAGAACUUUUUUUUCUUAUGUACUUUUUUACUUAUUAAAACAGAAUCAGGUGGAGGAGGAACACCCUGACAUUCAUCUCCCGGGGAAUGGUCUCUCUACCCUGCAUCCACAUGGUGAAGCACUAUAGAAGAUUCUCCCCAUGGGUCAGAUUCUCUCCAGUGCCAGACUCCUCAAAGAAACGAUACCACCCAAAUCAUCUUGCAAACCACAUGGAAAAUUGUAUGGCAUGUCUGGCAAUCUGUAUGAAGGGAAAUGGAAAUCUACAGGGAAUAAAAUUGAGAAAACUCAGUAACAAAUUGCCAUCAUGCACAUGUAAUAUUCUGCUAUGUUUCUAAUAACCUCUAGGCCAUAAUUUUCUAAUGGAAUGAAAUAACUCUGUCAGAGGCAAAAAUCAAUACUUUCAAAGUACACACUAAUGUUCUGUGAAAUUAGAAAUUGACCUUUUUUCCUUUUAAAGAAUAAAUACAAGUGGGUUUAGAUAUCUGGAGUAUAU
RNAcentral lists this long non-coding RNA (923 nucleotides) under Felis catus (domestic cat). RNAcentral describes it as "lncRNA (ENSFCAG00000042753.2)". Lineage: Eukaryota; Metazoa; Chordata; Mammalia; Carnivora; Felidae. The record is from RNAcentral.